UACGUAGGGGGCAAGCGUUGUCCGGAUUUAUUGGGCGUAAAGAGCUCGUAGGCGGCUUGGCAAGUCGGAUGUGAAAACUCCAGGCUCAACCUGGAGCCGCCAUUCGAUACUGCUAUGGCUAGAGUCCGGUAGGGGAGUGUGGAAUUCCCGGUGUAGCGGUGAAAUGCGCAGAUAUCGGGAGGAACACCGAUGGCGAAGGCAGCACUCUGGGCCGGUACUGACGCUGAGGAGCGAAAGCGUGGGGAGCGAACAGG
RNAcentral lists this ribosomal RNA (254 nucleotides) under uncultured bacterium. RNAcentral's name for it is "partial 16S ribosomal RNA". It matches the Rfam family "Bacterial small subunit ribosomal RNA", at positions 524 to 776 of the family's 1533-position model. The record is from RNAcentral.